AACUGAGAGAAAACUCCCUGAAUGAAGCAAACUCUGGAACAUCUGCUGUUGGAGAAACAGAACUGCAGCACUGAGAUUGGAGGAAGCAGAUGGAAGAAGAAUGGGAGGAGUUGAAGGAACCUGAAAAAUACUCACCAACUGUGGACUCUCAGAGACGGACUGUGGAGUCGUGGCUUCAGCCCUGAAGUCCAACCCGUCCCACCUGACCGAGCUGGACCUGAGCAAGAACCAGCUGAAGCAUUCAGCAGUGGAGCUCCUGUGUGCCGGACUGCAAAGUCCAAACUGCAGACUACAGAUUCUGAGGUGGGAUUGUUCUGCUGUUGUCCCACCGCUCUGAAGACGUCAGCCUUCUGACAAAACUCCUGUCUGGAGAACUUCCUGUUUGCUGUCCUUCCAGAACUUCUGACUAUCUUCAGCGGUUUCUCAGGUCAGACACCUUUCAGUCACCAACCAGGUUGUGACUCCUCAGCUCUUGACCUGUCAUUACCCAGGUAUUCUUGAGGACCAGAAAAUAUCACACAAAGGAAUGUUGGAGUCUUGAAACCUGUGAUCAGCUACAUGGAGCUCCUCGCCUGGUUCCGAUGGACCCGGAUCUCCAAAGAGCUUUGAUGGAAAUGUCCUGAGAACCUCUCAGAGGACGUCUGCCUUCAGUCUGGAGCUUUGGCAGAGGUCCAUGCUGGAGUCAGCUGAACUAAUGAAGUCUUCUUCUGCAGCAGAAGAGCUCCACCCACAGUCAGAAGUGACAGCAGAACCAUCAGAACUCUGCCGUCCGGGUCUGGCGUUUAAAUGCUAUCCUGCAGAUGCCGAGCUGCUGGUGAUCACCUGAACUCACCUGUUCCUUCACAGACCUUCUCUCUCUCUGCUUC
This is a non-coding RNA of Oryzias latipes (Japanese medaka), 866 nucleotides long. NCBI's taxonomy places the organism in Eukaryota, Metazoa, Chordata, Actinopteri, Beloniformes, Adrianichthyidae. The record is from RefSeq and is a predicted model, not a curated record.